UGGGAGAUCGUCUAAUGGUAGGACAACGGACUCUGACUCCGUUUAUCUAGGUUCGAAUCCUAGUCUCCCAG
Molecule: transfer RNA, 71 nt
Filed under: Dokdonella koreensis DS-123
Lineage: Bacteria; Pseudomonadati; Pseudomonadota; Gammaproteobacteria; Lysobacterales; Rhodanobacteraceae
Also listed under: 2 other names
Rfam family: tRNA
About the family: Transfer RNA (tRNA) molecules are approximately 80 nucleotides in length.
Source: Rfam by way of RNAcentral